UCCCUGGUGGCUCAGUGGUAAAGAAUCUGCCUCCAAUGCAGGAGACGUGGGUUUGAUCCCUGGUCGGGGAA
Molecule: transfer RNA, 71 nt
Filed under: Bos taurus (domestic cattle)
Lineage: Eukaryota; Metazoa; Chordata; Mammalia; Artiodactyla; Bovidae
Also listed under: 4 other names
Rfam family: tRNA
About the family: Transfer RNA (tRNA) molecules are approximately 80 nucleotides in length. Their secondary structure includes four short double-helical elements and three loops (D, anti-codon, and T loops). Further hydrogen bonds mediate the characteristic L-shaped molecular structure. tRNAs have two regions of fundamental functional importance: the anti-codon, which is responsible for specific mRNA codon recognition, and the 3' end, to which the tRNAs corresponding amino acid is attached (by aminoacyl-tRNA synthetases). tRNAs cope with the degeneracy of the genetic code in two manners: having more than one tRNA (with a specific anti-codon) for a particular amino acid; and 'wobble' base-pairing, i.e. permitting non-standard base-pairing at the 3rd anti-codon position.
Source: Rfam by way of RNAcentral